Mirounga angustirostris (Northern elephant seal) is the source of this 3276-nucleotide long non-coding RNA. RefSeq lists it as uncharacterized. The record is from RefSeq and is a predicted model, not a curated record. Lineage: Eukaryota; Metazoa; Chordata; Mammalia; Carnivora; Phocidae. The transcript is spliced from 3 exons.
GGCAGGACCCCCCUCGCGGAGCUUUGGCAGCGCCAUGAUUGUCAGGGGCGGGCGGACUUCCCCUGAGCCUGUCCUCGGCGCCAUAAUUAUGAGGGGCAAACGCACUUCCUGUGAGCCGGUCAUCGGCACCAUAAUUUGGGGCGGGGGCACGCGCAUCAACUAAGCCGUUCGUCGGCGCCAUGGUUGUGAGGGGCAUACGCACUUCCGUUGUGCUGUCCACUGACGCCAUGACUGUGAGGGGUAGAUACCUUUCCUCAAAGCCGAGGCUGUACUGGUCCGUUAGCGUUAUAGUUAAGGAGACGGGCGCCAGUGUCGCAAAAUCCAGGCUCUGCUCUUUGCCAAUGACGUGAUUGUGAAGGGCAGGUGCUCUCCCAAUGGAUGCCUUCCCUUACAUCCCAGGUUGCGACGUCCACCGGCAUUAUAGUUAUUGGGAUGGGCACCAGCAUUGAAGGCCCGAGACUGUGCCGGUUGUGGUGAUUGUAAGGGGCAGGCGCACUUGCGCAGAAUGGUCCGCGGUGCCAUGAUUGUGAGAGUCAAAUACACUUCCGAAGCGCGUCUCAGACGCCAUGAUCGUGAGGGGCAGGCCGACUUCCCCGAAAGGUCCGCCGUUCCACGACCGUGAGGGGCCAGGCACACUUCCGGAGCGCCGGCCUAGAUGCCAUGAUUGUGAGGGGCGGGCGUACGUCCACGGACUUGUGCCCCCAUGACUGUAAAGGCAGAUACCCGCCUUCAAAACCCAGGUUACACCGUUCGCCAGCACUACAGUUAUGAGGGCGGGCACUAGUGCGGAAAAGCCGAGGCUGUGCAGUUACUGGCACGACUGCGAGGGACAGACGCAUUUUCGCUCCACUGCAACGCCGUGAUUAUGAGGGGCGAAUACACUUUCGGAGCGCCGCCUGCUUCGCCGUGAUUGCGAGAGAUGAAAUGAACCACAGCUGAAGGGCGGCCCCAGAAAAAGAUUCACGAGGGACAAACAGUGGAGAUGAAAUGCAUGAGACAAGAACAUGGGAUAGUCGUCACCGUGGAAAGUGGAGAAUAUCACACAAAACAAUACUAAUUCCUCAAUGAAUCACCAACUGGCCAGGAUUUAUCAUAAUAUAUAACUCUAAUAUGGUAAAAAAAUUGAAAAGGUCUUAAAAUUCCAUAUAACCUCACAAGCAACAGAUCUGGUGUUUGGUCUGAGUUCUUCCAGUAACCUUUCAAACCAGCUCAUUCUGACCACCUCUGGAAUAAGCAGCAUCUUCAACUAUAUAAUCUCCUUUAAAACAACUCCACUGACUGUCACUCACAGCAACUUUCAAAAGAUGACCUUUUAUAUUAUACUCUACAUAUGCAACACCAUGAAUUAAAUUCACUAUAUACAUGCAAAAAGUCAGCAAUCAUUUCAAAGUUAUGAUCAGUAUAUCUCAUCCCCUCUUCAAACUUAGUGAACAAAUAGCAAUGACACAAAAAAAUUUCUUAUGUUGUUCAGUCCCUCCUAAUUUGGAGGAAAUCACUUAGUAAUAAAAACGCUAAUAUAUGCCUAAUUGCAUAUUAAUGGGAAGAUUAGAAUUGAUUAGAGAUUUAAUCUUCAUUGCCUAGCAAUUAAUUUAGGUUUCUUUUAAAUGUUUAGAAAGCAGUGUAGUUAAAGCAAAGCAUUUUGAAAGUAUUUUUAAUGGAUCACAUCAUUUUUGGUGAGCUUAUCAAAGUGUCUUAACAAAGGUACCUACAAAAUAUUAAAACAUUAGCUUAAGAGCUUUGCAUUCGCUUAAUACUGAAUUUGUCUUCUUGCCACCAUAAACAAUUUAAAAUCCAUAAAAUAACAAAAACAAAACUUACCCCCUCCCACCUGGCAUAUUCACAUGUGAUCUUGUGGCCAGAGGGAAAAAUUUUUCAUCACUUUACGUGCAGAUACAAAUAUUCCCGGUGAUACACUUCCCCAAAGCCGAACAAACACGCACAGAUUUAGGCAUCAGAUUAUUAUACUUUACUCAUGUAUAAAAAGGUUUUCUGAAUUAAGCAUGUAUAAUUCUACAAAUUUUUCAGAUUAAAAAAAGUAUAGUGUUUCAUUAUAGAAAUCAAGAUCGGACCCAUAGGUUUACUAUGAUCUCCUGACUGCCACAAAAUACUAACACAAAUGAUCACCCGCAGGAAUGGCUGUGAAUAUGCCCAAAUUACGGUGGCAAGGAAAGACAAGAUAGCGUGGCCUGCAUCACGGGGCAGCCCGUGCACGUCCUUCUAUUGAACGGUCUUCAGGAACUCAUUUGCUACACACCUGAAACAGGCGCUGUGUUAGGCACUCUGCUCUGUGAAGACUUCUGUCUAUUUUGCACAACCCCCUUCACUGAUGUCUUAGGGGUUCUAAUUGAAUAUAAAAAAAUUAAUAAGUCACUUGCAUUAAGGUCUAAAUGUUCAACAUUCAAAGAAAGCAACCAUAGUGCAUCAAUGGUUCCAAGUACAAAUAAGCUUGAAAAGGACUUAAAUCUCACGCAUGCGCACAGAAAGGAAACUACACUCUGCUUCAGCAGGGGACUAGAACCAAGGCUUACACUUUGUUGGGGAAGCACUUUGGUGAUGCUGAACUUACUGUAUGGAUGCUUACAAUACUUAAUGAGCAAAAUGGUAUGAAAUGAAAAGUAAAAACAUGCCAUCAUAAGAUGAUAAUUAAGAUAUAAUACACAACAGUACACCAAAGGGUUAUCUUUGAACACAAAGCGUUAAAAGAUCUUCGUAAUGCUAUGAAUAAGUCACAUUUGUAAAAUAGUUAUCCUUUAUUAAAGAGCACUAAAUUAUGUUUCCCACUCAAAGCUAAUCUUGAUUUGGAUGUUUUUAAAUACCCAGCAGGGACAUUCUUACCCUUGUCUACUAAGUAGCCUGUGAAUGGGUGCAUUCUGUCCUUGGUUUGGCUGAAGGACUCUGUCGACAAAGUAAGUAAAAAAUUAAUUCAAAAGAGAAUGAUAUAAAUUCAGUUCCCCCUCCCAUUUUCUUUUAACAGAUGAAAGAUGAUUAACAAUGAGAUGGAAGUCAUCUAUAAGGAUAGGCCAAUAUAAUAAUACCACAUAGCAAAUCAAACUGAUUGAAGCAUAUUAAUAUGGUACUUAUAUUUUGCUCACCGAGAGCCCAAAUCUUAGGUUUUUAUCAGGAUGUCCAACAUAACUGUUUAACUCUUGUAUUUUUAGGUAAUUUAUUUAUAUACUUUACAAAAACCAACUUUUCCUUUCAAACAUCAAGUAACAUCGCUCUUGUAAAAGUAGAAAACAGGUCAGAAAUAUUAAGCUAGCUUUCUAAGGUUUGUAU